Hyla sarda is the source of this 1351-nucleotide long non-coding RNA. RefSeq lists it as uncharacterized. Lineage: Eukaryota; Metazoa; Chordata; Amphibia; Anura; Hylidae. The transcript has 3 exons. The record is from RefSeq and is a predicted model, not a curated record.
AGGAAAAUGGCUCCUCCCCCGUGUGACAUCUUUGAUGUGCAAGAAGAUCUGAUUUCUUAAGAAAACCCUUUCCACAUUCAGGGCAAGAAAACGGCUUAACCCCUGUGAUUUACGGGCGGCUCUUACCAUCCACUGACACCAAGACAUCCGGUCCAUCCAUUGAUCCUCCAUCACUUUCCUGUGAGGAUCCAACAUAGAAGACAAGAGAAAAGGGAAAGGAGACAAAUUUAUCUUCUAAUCAGGACUCUUCCUAUACAAAGAACUAUUCUACAGAGCGUCCACAGGCCCCAAUAAGAAGAGGAUAUAGAGUGUAUACUGUAUACUCCACUGCUGGAGAAGAGGAUAUAGAGCGUAUACUGUAUACUCCACUGCUGGAGAAGAGGAUAUAGAGCGUAUACUGUAUACUCCACUGCUGGAGAAGAGGAUAUAGAGCGCAUACUGUAUACUCCACUGCUGGAGAAGAGGAUAUAGAGCGUAUACUGUAUACUCCACUGCUGGAGAAGAGGAUAUAGAGCGUAUACUGUAUACUCCACUGCUGGAGAAGAGGAUAUAGAGCGUAUACUGUAUACUCCACUGCUGGAGAAGAGGAUAUAGAGCGUAUACUGUAUACUCCACUGCUGGAGAAGAGGAUAUAGAGCGUAUACUGUAUACUCCACUGCUGGAGAAGAGGAUAUAGAGCGUAUACUGUAUACUCCACUGCUGGAGAAGAGGAUAUAGAGCGUAUACUGUAUACUCCACUGCUGGAGAAGAGGAUAUAGAGCGUAUACUGUAUACUCCACUGCUGGAGAAGAGGAUAGAGCGUAUACUGUAUACUCCACUGCUGGAGAAGAGGAUAUAGAGUGUAUACUGUAUACUCCACUGCUGGAGAAGAGGAUAUAGAGCGUAUACUGUAUACCCCACUGCUGGAGAAGAGGAUAUAGAGCGUAUACUCCACUGCUGGAGAAGAGGAUAUAGAGUGUAUACUGUAUACUCCACUGCUGGAGAAGAGGAUAUAGAGUGUAUACUGUAUACCCCACUGCUGGAGAAGAGGAUAUAGAGCGUAUACUGUAUACUCCACUGCUGGAGAAGAGGAUAUAGAGCGUAUACUGUAUACUCCACUGCUGGAGAAGAGGAUAUAGAGUGUAUACUGUAUACCCCACUGCUGGAGAAGAGGAUAUAGAGCGUAUACUGUAUACUCCACUGCUGGAGAAGAUUAGGAGAAAGCUCCAUGACAUCAAUCUAUAGAGGAUUUACAGAAAUCUCCGCUUCAUCUACCUGAUGAUCCACAGGGACAUUCUGCUCUUCCUCUUUACAAUCCUGGGAAUAUAGAGGACGGGGACAUCUCUCUGGGGGAUUUCUCUGACUGGAUCCA